CAAAAUACAUAAUUAUAUAGAAUGCAAAAUACGAAUUAGCUCAGUGUCUUCCUGAUACCAGUGCUCUUCACUAAUUUUUUUUGCGCACGUUUGUAUGCCUCCAACCAAUGUGAUGCCAAUGAGAAGCCCCAAAUUGUUACCCACAAAUUAAUUGUCUCCGACAACAAUUCAGAAGACCACUCUUCUUCAUCAAUAUCUUGAGAAACUAAACUCCAGUAGAAUAGUACAUUUUCAUUUUGUCCGACGGCAUCAACAAUUGUUACAGUUAGAAUCUUCAGAGACAACAACUCUUGGUAAUGUAGUGCAAACAACACCUUCCACAGUACAAAAAAAUCGAAAAUAUUCGUCAUUCAAUGGGAAUAAACCACCACGAUUUACUUUGUCCAUCCACUCUGUAGUGUAUUGAGUAAAAUCUGUUGGUUCUCCCAUGACAGCCAUUUCUCCAAGACACAUCUCAAAUUGAUCAAAUUUUUUGCCUCUCUUUCUCUUGUACUUGCGUAGAAGCUUAAGCGCCAUGUAUCCACACGCAUAAUGCAGUGCAUUUAACUCGUCUUUAUUAAAUUCGACACCAUCAACAGUAGCUGCACGAGUCACAGGACCAGUAUCACAGCCAAACUGUUUCUUCAGUAACAUCUCAAAAAGGGAUCUAGCAACACUCUGAAUUAGUAAAGGAUCCUUUCCCAAAGUCUCAAUGUUUAAACACAGUUGAGUCCAAAGAGUGCUUAUUUGGCUUGUAGCUACUGUAUGAUACGCCAUCCACAGCUUUAACUCAGCAGUUUUUUUUUACCUUAAUUAAGCUUGAUGUUGUGAAACAGGACUUCAGGGCAGUUACUAAAGUUUGACAAAAUGUAACAAAAAGAUCAUGAAUCCAUAUAGAACAGCAGUUGUAUAUAGAUCACCUAGUGUUUCAAUGCUGCUACUCUUGCAACAUAUGACUCAGUUGCUUGGCCAAGUAGGUACACAAUCAACAGUUAUUAUGGGCGACUUUAAUGAUGAUGUUUUCCAUGUGUCUGGUUCCGUACUUGAACAGUUUAUGUUGUCCCAAGGAUAUACACAGCUAGUAAGGCAAUCCACUAGUGACCGGGCAACAUUGAUUGAUCAUGUGUACUUUAGUGAGCAGAUAAGCAAAGAUGUGGUAGUUCAAGUACGACAUGAUGCUGUGUAUUGUUCAGUACCACUGCACUAUUGUAAACAAUGUAUCACAUGGCAAAUAUGAGGUAAUAUGAGGUAGUUCAAGUACAGUAGAACCUCGAUUAUCCGGCCCUCGAUUAUCCGGAACCUCGAUUAUCCGGCUUGGCAGUUUUCUUUUUAAUCAGAUUACAUAAUUCAGAAAAUGGGCGUGUCCCUCAAAUGCGCAUGCGCGUUGCAGCUGUUACCAUGGAGACAUGCCUGCUUUUCUUUUGCGCAUGCGCAGACAACAUGUGGCACUGCUGUUCAUCAAUAAAGUGGGUGGAUCAAGGCGUGGUUUAUCUAUUCGAUUAUCCGGCAUAUUCACUUAUCCGGCCUGCUUCUGGAACCAAGGUGUCCGGAUAAUCGAGGUUCUACUGUACGAGAUGUAUACUAUAGUGCUGUGUAUUCCACUGUCGGUUUUGUAUUAAGUAUAACACUAAUGUAUCACAUGAGCAAAUAUAUCACAUGAGCAAAUAUGGCAACAUGGCAAACAAAGUUAACUCCUGCAAAGCAAUUUUCUUUUUCAGGUUCUCCAACACUAAUACAGGACUCAACAACAUUGUACACUUCACUAACAAAACCUUGUGUUUCCUUUCAAAGUAACAACUUGUUGCAGUAACCCGUAUCAUUGCAAGGUUCAUCAAUGGGACUCAAUGACUAAACAAUUAUAAGUACUACUACAUGCUCUGGGUGACCAACAAUGCAUGCAGUGUUGUGUUGAUUUCUAAAUGUGACAGGCUCUGGGAAAACAGACCAAUUGGCGCAAGCUAUAAUUUUUGCGAUCUAUAUACCAGAUGAUAGAGCAAAGAAUUGCCUACGUAUUGAUGUGCUUAGUUUGCACAUAUCUCGUUCCAUGCCUGAGUUAUGCGCGUUGGAAACUCGAAGUUGUAAAACAGCAGUAUUGAGAAACGCCCACUCAAAGAUUGCUAAAUUGGGAAAAGUAAGGUAAUGGUGGCUGCUUAGACAAAGCGCUUUGGUGGAAAGAGUUGGAUUCAGAGCAUCAGAUUUUGCAGAGAGGUAGUAUAAAGACUGUAGAUAACUAUAAUCCAAGAAAAAAAAUUAUGAGAUUAUACACUGUAGUCUAUAAAUCUGGCUAUUGCUCAAUACCAAUAUCUGCUCCAAUUGGUCUGUUUUCCCAGAGCCUGUCACAAA
This is a long non-coding RNA of Halichondria panicea, 2322 nucleotides long. RefSeq lists it as uncharacterized. NCBI's taxonomy places the organism in Eukaryota, Metazoa, Porifera, Demospongiae, Suberitida, Halichondriidae. The transcript is spliced from 3 exons. The record is from RefSeq and is a predicted model, not a curated record.